CCAUGGUGCAUUGCAGUUGCGUGUUGUUCAGAAAGUAUGGAAAUUUCAUCGAUAAGCUAAGACUCUUCACCAGGGGAGGAUCCGGUGGAAUGGGUUAUCCUCGUUUAGGUGGAGAAGGUGGAAAAGGUGGUGAUGUCUGGGUUGUAGCCCAGAACAGAAUGACUUUAAAACAACUUAAAGACAGGUAUCCUCGGAAACGGUUUGUGGCUGGAGUAGGAGCAAACAGCAAAAUUAGUGCACUGAAAGGCUCCAAAGGAAAAGACUGUGAAAUCCCUGUGCCUGUGGGUAUUUCAGUAACUGAUGAAAAUGGUAAAAUUAUAGGUGAGUGUACUAUAACUCCAAAAGUUGUAAAAAUGUGCACGUUUUCUAAAAUGAAACAAUGGAAUAGCUUCUCUUGAGUUUCAGAAGAUUUUUUAACUAACAAUUUUAGCUACUAUUCUAUAAGAGAGCAUUUUUAAAACUUAUAAAAGUUAAAUUGACUGCUAGAUUUAAGAUUGUUUUAAAGAUGUUACAGUUCUUACUUGGUCUUAAAAUAUAUAACUAGGCUCUUUUCAAUUGUUUACUGAAGUGUUUUUCUGGGGUCAAACUUUUAAUAGAUUUGUAAAUUGGAAUUUCCUGGACUGUUUUUCUGAAAGAACAAUAUUACAUUAAUGAUUCUACUUAUUAAUUAUAGAUUUGUAAUUGAGAAUUUCCUGGCAUGUAUUUUUGAAAGUAAAAUAUUACAUUAAUGAUUUCACUUACUAAUCUAUAGAUUUGUAAUUUUGCAUUUCUUUGCCUGUAUUUCUGAAAGAAAUAUAUUGCAUUAGUGAUUUCACUUAUUAAUCUUUGCUGUAAGUAUUUCUCUCCCUCUUUUUAAGGAGAACUCAAUAAAGAAAAUGACAGAAUUUUGGUAGCUCAAGGAGGUCUUGGUGGUAAAUUACUUACAAAUUUCUUACCAUUGAAAGGCCAGAAACGAAUAAUUCACCUUGAUCUAAAACUUAUAGCUGAUGUAGGCCUAGUAGGGUAAGUAUCGUUCAUAUUUUUAUUAUUAUACUUUCAGAGAGAGAGUUCUUGAAUAGAAAAUAAAUGUAAAUGGUAAUUUGGGGCCAUAAUUAUUUCUAAUUUAUGGAAUUUGUGUGUUGUGUAUGUACUUGGAAAAUAUGCUGCUAAAUAUUAUUUUCAAAUUGCCAACACAGAGUUUCAUAGUUAUUGCUUAUUUAUAAAAUUAAGACCAGAGCAAUUGAAUAGAUCAGUGGGAAUGUUAGAGAAUGCAUAAAGAAAGAAAAAUCAAUCAAAUGCAAUAUUACAAGAUGGUUAAAUAAUGUUACCAGAUAUUAAUAAUAAAUCCAAACAAACCGUAUUAUUAUU
Molecule: long non-coding RNA, 1347 nt
Filed under: Homo sapiens (human)
Lineage: Eukaryota; Metazoa; Chordata; Mammalia; Primates; Hominidae
Description: long non-coding RNA NONHSAT212348.1
Source: RNAcentral